GAGGGCUGUUGGGGAGAGUUGGGAGUGGGUGAGAGCCGUGCCCUAAGGGGGUGACUCCUGGGGCUGAUGGGCCUGGUGGGGACACCCAGAGGCCCAGGGGCAGGGUGGGGCAGUGGGGAGCACCCGGCGCAGCCAUUUGGGGACAGCCUCUGCUCCACCAGAGCCACGCCCCACCUGAAAGGGCUGCCUGGAGGUGGUGAGCUCCCUGUCCCUGGAGGCAAGCAAGUCCUCUCAGUGAGGCUGGGAGUGGUGGGCCUGCCCCACCUGGCCUGCAGGCCCCAGGCUUUGGGGUGCAGGGGUGAGGACAUACGAACCUUUAUGUCCAGGUGGAGAACGCCAUGGCUGUGCAGGUAGUGCAGCCCCUCCACCAGCUGCUGGAUGUAGACCUUGACCUGCGGCAAGGGCUGCUGUUCAGGGGGGAGCCCAGCCCCAGCCUCCCUCUGCACUUCAAGCCCAGCCUCCUCCUGGCUUCAGCAGCUGAUAUGCAAAGCCCUCCUGGGCCCUGUGUGCCCCUAAGCCAGGAGAUCCCUCAAAGGUGGGGAGGAUAAGAUGGACUUGUGAACCUCAGUGGGGGAGGGGCAGGCAGGGCUGGUCCGCUGGCCAGGUGAGGCGGGGUGGCAGGCUGUGUAGAGCCCGACAGGGGGUCAACACGGCCUGGAGGCCCUGGGGAGCCCCAGAGGCCCCUGAGCUAGAGAGAGCUGUGGCUGGGACUGUAUCUGCAGGGAUCCGAUGUCUGAGUGGGGGCUGGGGCAGGGUGCAUGGCUGGGGCAGUGGCAGGCGGUGGCCCAGUCACCUCGGCCUCCGUCACCACGCCCUUCCUGAACAAGCGGUCCAGCAGCUCCUCGGACGAGCACCUGGGAUCCCAUCAAGGAAAAGCAGGCUUGGGAGGCUGAAACCUGCCUGCCCCCAGAAACCCACACUCACAAUGAGGCAGCCAGAAGGAGUGCAGCUUCCUCCGGGGGCUUUGCUUCUCUGAGUCCGGCUCAUUGUCCCCUGAGGAGUGGGAAGCGGCUGGUAUGGGCAAAGGUGACCAGCGUGAUCCCCAUAGAACCCAAUGCUGUGGUGUUGACGGGAGCUGCUCCGUGGACCCAAGACUAUGGAACCACACCCACCCAGGUACCACACCCACCCAGGUACCACCAUGGGAAGAGAGGUUGCCCCAUGGAGCCAAGACCUGUACCCGGCCAGCCCGGCUGCAGAGCCUGGGGCCCAGGAGGGGUCGACCAACUCACCCCCAAGCACCAACAGCUCUGCCUUGCAGAGCACCUGGCCACCAGCAUUUUGGGCCAGGCAGGUGUAAACGCCGGCAUCCUUCGAGGCCACAUGCCUCAGCACCAGGGAGUAUGUGGUGCCUUCUUGCUGUUGGCUAAGCCGGGUGCUGUCCACCAGCUGGAUGCUGUCCUGGAGGCACAGGACCGGCAGGGCUGCUAUCAGCCCACUCUGGGGGACCCCAUCACCCCACCCUUCACUGUGCAGUGCUUCCGACACCUGCUGUGUGUCCAGUCUGGGGGGGAUGUGGGGCAAGUGCACGAUGUGGACUGUACCCACCUCCCAUGGGCCCCCCAGCUCCUGGGGCCAUCCCUGAAUCUCACCCACCUGGACCCGCACGCCUACCUUGUACCAGGUCACCGAGGGCUGUGGGUCACCCUCAAUGAUAGCCUCGAAUUGGGCCGUUCCGCCUGUCUGUACCUGCACAUCCUCGAUGGUUACCUGCAUGGAUGGGGGCCCUGGGAGGGCAGGGAGGGAACCGUGGAGACCACCUCCCCAGCCACACAACCCUGGGUGCCAGCCACAGCCCACCAUGCCUGGGUGCCAGCCACAGCCCACCAUGCCUGGGUGGUUGGUGAGACCCUAAGAUACACUGUAGGCAACUGAACGCCCCCCGCAGCCCAAGCAACAGCACCCCAUCCUGACCGCCCAGGCUUCUGACAGUUAGGGGUGCUCCUUCAGUGGAACUACUGCCUCUCCCACUCUGACCUCAGCUGGCCAGGUGAUCAGGAGGAGUUGGUGGGGGCCAGUGGAGCUCACUAACUCGGCUGCCGCUCUCAGGGACAGGGUCCUAUGGACACCAAGCUCACCGCCACUUGCCUCUCCCCAGUGGAGGGUUCUGGCCCCUCUGAGGGGACAUGGUGAGUAGACUGUGGGGGUCCCAGGCUGGGGCAGGGCUGGGACAGGCUGGGUGGCCUUUGCAGAUGUGCAAAUGCCCCCCAGCCCUGAGCAAGGGACGUGGGGAUCACACUCAUAACCCGGCUGGGCCCAAUCCCGUACGUGCGGUGUGCUUGUCGAUGGCCUGGUAUGUGUAGGUCCUCUGCGUGGUCUCCGUGACCACGUGGCUGUGGACGUCCCAGAGCAGCUCCCCUGUGCCUGCCCCGGGCCAGGCUGCACCCUCCAUCCUGGGGUUAGGAAGUGGGGUGAGGCUCUGCCGGGCCCCCACACGUUCUGAGCAGCCAGGCCUCCAGAUGAGAUAGUGGAUCCCUGCUCACCACUACUCGAAGAGGCUGCAGCAAAGCCUCUCUGGGAUGAGAUGUACAGACGGGGGCCCAGCUCUUAGUAUGGAGGGGGCCCCCCAACACCUCUCAUCCCAAGAGUGGCCUCUCCUCCCCGCCCUGCCCUGCCCGGGGUGGCUGCUGGCAAGGAGUGGAGUGAGGGCUGUGAGGCCACCGCAGUAACUCGUGCCCUGCCCUGUCUGCCCUGGGAUGUCCCCUGGGGGUUGGCCCCCACUGCAGGACCCAACAGUCUGGGGAGGUUACCGAAUGGGCACAGUCCAUUCCUGGGCUCUGGCAAUGGCUUCCGGCUCCUGCUCUGGGCCUUCGUGGAGGAGGGGCUGUGGCACCCUCGGGGGCACGGCUGCUGGGAGACGAGGGCCUCAUAAGAUGGAGCCCAGGUGGUACCCGCAGCAGGUCCCCAUGUUCCCACGCUAGGCAAGCCCAGGCAGAGCUUUGGGCUCCAGGGGCCCUGGGCCAUGGGUGAGAUCCUGGCAAGGCCCUGGGCCCCAAACCCAGUCCCCAGCCCACAGCUCAAGCAUGUGCAGUUAGCCACCCUGCAGAGCCCAGAUGCCAAGCACCCUCCAUAUCCAGCUUGGCGCCACCAGCCCCGAGGCUCCCCUGCCCACCCGCCAGGCUGACAACUGGAUGCAGUGGCCUUUGCCCUCUAGAACACUCCCUGACAGCCAGACAGGACAGGCAGCUCUGUCUCAGCACCGUGCAUGCCAGGAGCAUUCAACAGUUCCUAGCAUGCAAGUAAUGGGCAGAAUCCAGAGGGCCAGGGCAUCACCCCAUGGGGCUGCCCAGAGGUCACAGGUAGGGCCCUUGACCCCGUUCCACCCAGCUGCAUGGAGAGGACAGGAGAGACGCAGGACAGACUGGGUAGAGGAGUGGGGCUCAGGACAGCCCCGGCUGGCAGCACAGGCAAUGCAGGCAGGGCAGGUGGCUGUAGGAGUCGGGUACACGUGAGCUUCAAGCAGGUGGACGAGUGGGACGGGUGCCCGUCACAGGCAGGGCGGGUGGGGUCAUGGCCACAGCAGGCCAACCCAUGCCCACUCUGCAGAGGCAUCGGACAGAGUGAACGAGCGUCAGGCCUGUGAAGGAGCCCGCGAUCUGCCCAGGACGGGCCAAGCAGCACCUGGGGCAGGCUUGUCUGCUCAGCCACUGUGGCCCUGGCACACAGCCCAUUGGAUGUGGUGGGGUGCACUCCACCCACGAGGCAGAGUGAGAGUGAGGGCCAGGGCCAGUCCUCCCAGACCCCCGCCCCAGCCUCGACCUGUCCUUCCCUUGCAGACACCAGCCCUCAAUCACUGCAGGGGGAAGGGUGAUAGGCCAGAAGAAUGAGAAGAGACCACUUCCCAGGGUGACAGGGAUGCUGUGCCUCUUCUCCUGGGCCAGGCCCUGCGCCCAGCCAGCCCCGUGAUAGGCGCACGGAGCAACACCAAGGUGGGGCUUAGAGGGAUGCCCGUUGGCCCUAGGUGGCCCCAGGGUGCCCAGGCAGCUAGAGGGAGGAACCUGAGCUCAUUGAAGGCCUGGGGGCUUCCGUGCCUGUUGUGGGAAAGCAGACCCGAGGGGCUGGCCCUCUCAUCUCAUGGGGGAAGGUGGCCUGCUUGCCCCAAACCCUAUGCCCCCUGGCCCUGCGGGAGGCCACAGAAGCAGCACAGGGACUGUGGGACUGUUGGAAACGCUGGUUGGAGCAUGCGUUCAGGGAAUUAAGCGUGAGACCAUGGUGGGGGCCUGUCCCGUGCAGUCCUUGGGGAGGGGCACUGUGCCCUGGAGGUCUCAUCCUGCUUGGCUCCAGCCUGACGGCCUUUCUCCAAAGUGAUGGGACCAGGUAGGGGUGGCUGGGGAGGGUGCAUCAGGGAAGGCCCUGCAAGAUUGGGUGGGGUGACCACAGUGGGUAGGCACACAGGACGCAAGGCCGUGAUGGUCCUUUGUGUGAAGAUAACCAAGGCAGGCUCUGGGCCAAACAAGGAGAAGGAGAAGGGCAUGGACCUGAGAAGCCCACACAAGCAGGAUGCAGAGGACGCUGGACAGGGCAGGGGAGGAGCCUGGCUGCCAUCCUGCCCCAGCUCUGGCCUCGCUCCAGCCCCGUCCUCAUGGCUCUCUGGACGCCUGACUCCAGGCCCCCCAUCCACCUGUGGUGAGCAGCAGGGCCUGGGAUGAGAUUCCCCCAACCCAGGCCUCAGUUUCCCCAGAUGCACCAUCUGUCCCUUUAGGAAAAGGUCCUUGAUCGGGGACCUGAGGACUGGGCUGGAGCGAGGCCAGGGCUCGAGCAGGUUGGUGGCCAGGCUCACACCUGUAAUCCCAGCACUUUGGGAAGCUGAGGUAGGAGAAUGGCUUGAGCCCAGGAGUUUGAGAGCAGCCUGGGCAACACAGCAAUACCCCAUUUCUACCCAAAAAUAAAAAGGCCGGGCAUGGUGCCAUGCACCUGUAGUCCCAGCUACUUGGGAGGCUGAGGUGAGAGAAUCGCUUAAACCCAGGAGGUUGAGGCUGUAGUGAGCUGUGGUCGCAUCCCUGCACACUGCACUCCAGCCUAGGUGACAGAGUGAGACCCCGUUCCAAAGACAAAAAAAGAAGAAGCCGUUAAAGUGCUUCAUAACAGGAGACCCCCCAACACCUGGGGGAAGGGGCUUAGGUGAUCAUAACACCUGGGGGAAAGGGCUUGAGUGACCCACAGAGCUGGCUCUUGUAACAGCCAGUUUGGUCUGGUCUGUCUGGGGUACCGGCUGCUUCUGCCCCUCCCUCCUCCACCUCCUCCUCCUCCUCUGUCUUCUUCCCCCUCUACCCCCCUCCUCCUUUCCCUCUUACUUCUCCUCUCUCUCCUCCUCUCCUUUCUCACCCCCUGCUCCCCCUCCUCCCUGUCCACUGAGGAGCACAGGGCACCUGAAUUGGCCAUCACAGGCCAAGCAUGGGAAGCCUCUGGCUCCUAGAACAGAUUCAGAGCAGGAGGAAUCUUCCAGAACCCAUUCUGUGCCAGAUUCAGAUGGGGAAACUGAGGCCAAGCAAGAGAGAAGGCCAGGAGGGCCUGCAGAGCUGGAAAGCACCACCCAAGGGUCUCAGUCACCAAGACUGCAGGAGAGGCAAGGCCAUGCCAGGCCUGGCAGCUGUGGCUGGGGCCAGGAGGGAUGGACCAGGCC
Molecule: long non-coding RNA, 5623 nt
Organism: Pongo pygmaeus (Bornean orangutan)
Lineage: Eukaryota; Metazoa; Chordata; Mammalia; Primates; Hominidae
Exons: 3
Source: RefSeq, a predicted model, not a curated record